AUGGCAGCGGGUGGAGCUAUUACAAACAAGACACUUGAUGAAGCUUUUCUGCUGAUUGAGAGCAUAGCUUUCCACCAACUUCAGUGGUACAAUAAGAAGCCCACAUCUGAUUCAUUGGUUUGCUUGCAACAAAUCACUACACCUCAACCACCAAUUCUUACACAAAAGCAUGAGCCUCUAUUUCAGUGUGACAAGGUUGAGCUUGCAUGGAUUAUAUUUGACGAUGAUGACACCAUUCUAGUUGACACACACGCUACAGAUCAUCUGGUACUAGUGUUGGAGAUUCAGUUUUGCAUUGUGAUGAGGGAUGAGCCAGAGCUGCAGUUCGUUGCUUUUGAUAUUGAGGAGUCACCUUUAGUUGAUAUUGAUCAUGUGCUGCUAGAGCCAGAUAUGGAGAAGUUCGCCUUUGAUGAUGUUAGCUGCAUUGAUUCUUCAACACUUGAGCCUGAGAUGGAGAGCUUCAUGGUUGAUUAUGGUGAGGUGGAUUCAGAUGUCAAGGAGUCAAGCUCUAUUUCACUUGUUGACACGAAUCCGAUGGAAAUUUCUACUACCACACCUCACUUGGUAUCUUCAAUGGAGGUAGUCCUGAAGCUUCUUCCUAACUAUCUCAGGUAUGAUCUCAGCUUUCUCAACAAGAUAUGCCAUAUCAUGGAUACUGCCUAUGCACCAUGUGACUUGUUGUUGAUACAUGUUCCUGACUUGCUCAAUAGAUAUACUUAUAUGAUAGGGUACUCUAUCGAUGACUUAGAGGGCAUUCUCUUUGUCACUUGUAUUGGCUUGGUUGUUGAGUGUUCUUUCAGGUUGAUGCUUGUGUACCAUUUACUGCGAGUUUACCGAGUUCGAGAUGACAUUCCCUGGGAUCCUGGUGGACUCAGAGCAUGGGGAUGA
Molecule: ribosomal RNA, 888 nt
Filed under: Triticum aestivum (bread wheat)
Lineage: Eukaryota; Viridiplantae; Streptophyta; Magnoliopsida; Poales; Poaceae
Description: partial small subunit ribosomal RNA
Source: RNAcentral